Molecule: ribosomal RNA, 1870 nt
Filed under: human gut metagenome
Description: bacterial LSU rRNA
Rfam family: Bacterial large subunit ribosomal RNA
Source: RNAcentral
UCAAGCUACAAAGAGCACAAGGGGAAUGCCUUGGCACCGAGAGCCGAAGAAGGACGUGACUAACUGCGAUAAGCUGCGGGGAGCCGUAAGUAGGCUUUGAUCCGCAGAUUUCCGAAUGGAGCAAUCCGGCAAGAGGAAAGUCUUGUCAUCAUAUACUGAAUACAUAGGUAUAUGAGGGGAACCGCCUGAACUGAAACAUCUAAGUAGGGCGAGGAAGAGACAUCAAACGAGAUUCCGUAAGUAGUGGCGAGCGAACGCGGAAGAGGGCAAACCGAGAGUAGAAAUACUUUCGGGGUACGGAGCGCAUUUAGGACUUAAGUUGUUAACCGAACGGCAUGGGAAGGCCGGUCAGAGAGUGUGAGAACCACGUAGGUGAAAACGACAAGAGCUGAGCGAGUUCCAGAGUACGGCCAGACACGUGAAACCUGGUCGGAAUACGGGGGGACCACCCUCCAACCCUAAAUACUACCCAGUGACCGAUAGCGUAUAGUACUGUGAAGGAAAGGUGAAAAGCACCCCGGGAGGGGAGUGAAAAAGAACCUGAAACCCUGUGCCUACAAGCACCUAGAGCACGUCAAUGUGUGAUAGGGUACUUUUUGUAGAACGGUCCGGCGAGCGAUUGUAUGCAGCAAGGUUAAGGACUUAAGGUCUGGAGCCGAAGCGAAAGCGAGUUUGAAAAGGGCGUUAAGUUGCAUAUAAUGGGCCCGAAACCGGGUGACCUACCCAUGGUCAGGUUGAAGUGGAAGUAAAAUUCCAUGGAGGACCGAACCGACCUCCGUUGAAAAGGCGGCGGAUGAACUGUGGGUAGCGGAGAAAUUCCAAUCGAACCCGGAGAUAGCUGGUUCUCUCCGAAAUAGCUUUAGGGCUAGCCUUGAAAUAGAUUACCGGAGGUAAAGCACUGAAUUGGCUAGGGGCCGAGAGGUUACUGAACCUUAUCAAACUAAGAAUGCCGGAUAAUCGUUUUUCAGGAGUCAGACAGUGGGAGAUAAGUUUCAUUGUCAAAAGGGAAACAGCCCAGACCCACAGCUAAGGUCCCCAAGUAUAGUUAAGUGGAAAAGGAUGUGGAAUUGCACAGACAACCAGGAUGUUGGCUUAGAAGCAGCCACUCAUUAAAAGAGUGCGUAAUAGCUCACUGGUCGAGUGACUCUGCGCCGAAAAUUUAACGGGGCUAAACUAUACACCGAAGCUUGGGAUACAUCUAAUGUAUGGUAGGAGAGCGUUCUGUAUGGGGAGAAGUCGUAGCGAAAGCGGCGGUGGACUAUACAGAAGUGAGAAUGCCGGAAUAAGUAGCGAGAAUUAAGUGAGAAUCUUAAUGGCCGAAAGUCUAAGGUUUUUGGAGGAAGGUUCGUCCGCUCCAAGUAAGUCGGGAGCUAAGGUCAGGCCGAAAGGCGUAGCCGAUGCACAUACGGUUGAUAUUCCGUAACCAUCUGUAAUUUAAGCAAAGGGACACUUCAAAAGGGUGUGACCCGGGCGUUGGUUGACCCGGGCGUAAGGGACCGAAAUUAGAGUAGGGAAGCACACUUAGCUGAAGGCGAGAAAAGCUUUGCGUAUAGAAACAGAUGCCCGUACCGCAAACCGACACAGGUGGACAGGAAGAGAAUUCUAAGGCCAGCGGGAGAAGGGUAGUUAAGGAACUCGGCAAAUUGACUCCGUAACUUCGGAAUAAGGAGUGCUCGAAAGAGCCGCAGAGAAUAGGCCCAGGCGACUGUUUAGCAAAAACACAGGUCUCUGCCAAAUCGAAAGAUGAAGUAUAGGGGCUGACACCUGCCCGGUGCCGGAAGGUUAAGAGGAGGAGUGAGAGCUCCGAAUUGAAGCCCCGGUAAACGGCGGCCGUAACUAUAACGGUCCUAAGGUAGCGAAAUUCCUUGUC